RNAcentral lists this small RNA (2105 nucleotides) under Rattus norvegicus (Norway rat). RNAcentral describes it as "uncharacterized LOC102547797". Lineage: Eukaryota; Metazoa; Chordata; Mammalia; Rodentia; Muridae. The record is from RNAcentral.
CAAAGUCCAGGUCCAGAGCCUCAUUACUAAUGCUGGUUGAACACGGUGGCCCAUUUUAAACCCAGCCUCAGAAGAUGAAGACAAGGACCUCCAGAGCACCACGGCAGGAGACUAUCCAUAUCAGUUAGCUCUGGGUUUUGGCUGAGAGACCCUGCCUCGUGAAUAAGAGUCCUCUCAUGCAGUCACCUCGGAUUCCAGGAACAAGUCUGGUCAAUAUACAUCCGUGGCAACAAUUGAAACUACCCACCUCUGGGCAGCAGGGAUUUUCUCAUCUGUUGCAAGACUCCUAAGCCUCUUCUGGGCUGUGGCAGCAGAGCUGACCAGUGGGACAGCGUCUACACAGUCUACAACACCCGCUAUCCGGCUAACUGAUCUGGACAAGAAGGACUAGAGAAGCUUUCUGAACCUGUCAGCUCUUGUGCCCUGGAGAUGAAGCAAAAGAGAAGAAUGGGUCAGAACCAGGAACAACAUCCUCUGGUAAAUGGACGCAGGGUCUACUUGAAGCUGCUGUCCUGGCCAUCUGGACGUCUUGCAUCAGCCCACUCAGAUACUCAGGAUGCUGACUUGCUGAGACCUUGAAUGGCCUUCCCUCUGUUGUCUGCCUCUGUCCUCCCCACCUGGGACAUAUAAAUAGAUUCUAGCUGUACUUAUUUUUCCUCCCAAAGUCGCUGAUGCUCUGUGUUGUUCCUUCUCCUGGGCCAGGUCAAGGUGGCGUCCCUGUCUUCAUCAUGGAGUCACCAUGUAGCAGGCUGGCCUUAAACUUGGGAUGCUUCUCCUGAGUUGCCUGGAUGCUGGUUUACAGGGAUCCAAAGAAAAGGCUGCCACUUCAAUGUCUAAUGGGUCCAGACAGGCUCCUACCUCCCGCCUUGAUGCUUGGCCGCUCACACCAUUACGGAAGCUGCCAACGAGAAAGGCACGAGAUGCCGGGGACCAGCUGACCUUGACUGCCUGCAUCUGAAAUACUCCUGUCUAUCCCACCACGGAGAGAGACAGCAACUAAAUUGGAUUAAUCCCAAAGGGAUCAGUCUGUAUCUCAGAGUAUUUAUAAAAUUUGAAAGAUCUAGGCGCUUCACGGGCAGCACUUGCUCUAGCUUUAAGCGGUUAGCACAAAGCUCUGGAGCGGGUAAAGCUAUGCUGAGCAACUGAAUGGACUGUGUCAGGUCUGUGGAGGAGUUGUGAGACUUGAGGCUUCGCAUGAAUAGUGAAAAAUCAUAUGCAUAUACAUAUACAUUUAUAUACAUAUAUGCUAAAGAAUAUAUAUACUAAGUCCUCACCUAACUGCAGGCUGACCAGCAGGUACACAUCGUACUUUAUAGGAAUCAUAACUCACCUGCCUUUGUUCUGCUUCUAUGAUUGCAAGGCUUUCUGCUCCCCUUGAGCAAAUAGAAAUACCACGGUGACACAACUGUGCCCUGUUCUUAUUAAAAAUUUCCAUAUUCUGUCAUGGUUGGUAACAGCCUUGUAAGUUACUGUCAAUGUGAAGCACCAAAUGUGUUGAUUUUUACCUUUAUAAACCCCCUGCUCACUCAGCUUGGGGCAGCGUCUUUAGACUUCUGGUCAUGCCCCUGGCUGGGUCUGUGUGCUUCAAUCAAAACUUCAGAUUCAUAAAGAGUUCUCAUACUGGUCUCUUUUUCUUGGGUGAGAACAGCCUGGCUACAAUGGCCCAUGAGAUAGGAAGAGAGUCUGAGGGCUAAACGCAGAAAAAAAGAAGAUAAAAUGCUUUAAAUGGGUUUGCACAUGUAAUCCAGUUUUAGAGUGUUUGCCUGGCGUGCAUGAGGCCCUGGGUUCAAUUCCCAGUACCACAUAAAUGGGUAUGGUGGUGUAAACUUCUAAUCUCAGCCCAGCAUCUGUGUAACCCAAGGUCCUUCUUGGCUACAUGGUAACUUUGAGGCCAGCCUGGGUGACAUGAAACCCUAUCUCAAAAACCAAAAAGAUCAACAACAACAACAAAAAAAAAAUUUUAGAAGUGAGGUGUGCACUCUUGGGCAUAUAUGUGAAGGAUGCUCCGUUAUAAAACAAGGAUAACAACUAUGUUAAUUGUGGCUUUAUUCAUAACAACCAGUAACUGGAAACAACCUAGACGCCCCACAACAGAAGAGUGGAUA